Molecule: long non-coding RNA, 669 nt
Filed under: Triticum aestivum (bread wheat)
Lineage: Eukaryota; Viridiplantae; Streptophyta; Magnoliopsida; Poales; Poaceae
Description: long non-coding RNA (TAES_LNC004679)
Source: RNAcentral
UCCUGAACACUGCUGUUUUGUUAACAAAUGGAUUGAUCAAGGAGGUGGGUUGAUCAUGUCCGUUCUCUCAUUGGAACCCAGCCAAAUGUUGUUAUAUACGACAUUAUUCUGGUAAACAUUAGAAGAAUUUAAAGUUUAUGCACAUGGAUAUCUAAAUCUCCAUUUUCAUUGAUCAAUCCGUCUACAGAGAGCUGGACAUUUCCCUUUGGAACAGAAAUAAUAGAAAAUAAACACCAAAUGAAAAUUCUUAGAACACUGGCAUUUCGGUGACAUCACACAUAUUUGGAUAAACACUACACAUGACGAUCGACAGAUAAGUACCAGAGGAUGAUAUGGAUCAAACAAGCAUCAUCAGAGUCUUCAACAUGCUAAAGCAGGCAACUAAACCAUUGACGCGAGAAAAAAAAAGGAAGGUAUGCACGGGCGCAGUUCUCGCCCAAACCGAAAAGACAGAUACCCUGAGAGAGAGGGCAGGAGCUCCGGGACACCGUGCUAAGAAACGAAGUCAGCCUCGCCGCGGUCACCGUGUUCUGCAGCAGCAACAAUGACAUUCCCGCGCAGCACCCCAGCUCCAGCGGCGCCCUGGACACCACAAACAUUUCACAGAUCAGGCACCUACAUGGAUAAGGCUAUCAACUGCAUCACCAUUUGUUUACGUGGAGAUGUACG